UCCAGCUGUAGGCAAUGGCCUAGGUUGUCUUGUACCUAGGCAAGUGUUACACAGUUGGGAAAAAUACAGACAAUAGUUGGUGGGCAUCCUGGGACUAGUUAAUGCCAAAUUUGUGUUUACUUAUCAGUUUGCCAUCAUA
Molecule: small nucleolar RNA, 139 nt
Filed under: Ochotona princeps (American pika)
Lineage: Eukaryota; Metazoa; Chordata; Mammalia; Lagomorpha; Ochotonidae
Description: Small nucleolar RNA SNORA74 (ENSOPRG00000023436.1)
Source: RNAcentral